CGCGGUGGGGGCAGCUACACAUGCAAGUCGAGCGGAACGAGUUAUCUGAACCUUCGGGGAACGAUAACGGCGUCGAGCGGCGGACGGGUGAGUAAUGCCUAGGAAAUUGCCCUGAUGUGGGGGAUAACCAUUGGAAACGAUGGCUAAUACCGCAUAAUGCCUACGGGCCAAAGAGGGGGACCUUCGGGCCUCUCGCGUCAGGAUAUGCCUAGGUGGGAUUAGCUAGUUGGUGAGGUAAUGGCUCACCAAGGCGACGAUCCCUAGCUGGUCUGAGAGGAUGAUCAGCCACACUGGAACUGAGACACGGUCCAGACUCCUACGGGAGGCAGCAGUGGGGAAUAUUGCACAAUGGGCGCAAGCCUGAUGCAGCCAUGCCGCGUGUGUGAAGAAGGCCUUCGGGUUGUAAAGCACUUUCAGUCGUGAGGAAGGUAGUGUAGUUAAUAGCUGCAUUAUUUGACGUUAGCGACAGAAGAAGCACCGGCUAACUCCGUGCCAGCAGCCGCGGUAAUACGGAGGGUGCGAGCGUUAAUCGGAAUUACUGGGCGUAAAGCGCAUGCAGGUGGUUUGUUAAGUCAGAUGUGAAAGCCCGGGGCUCAACCUCGGAAUAGCAUUUGAAACUGGCAGACUAGAGUACUGUAGAGGGGGGUAGAAUUUCAGGUGUAGCGGUGAAAUGCGUAGAGAUCUGAAGGAAUACCGGUGGCGAAGGCGGCCCCCUGGACAGAUACUGACACUCAGAUGCGAAAGCGUGGGGAGCAAACAGGAUUAGAUACCCUGGUAGUCCACGCCGUAAACGAUGUCUACUUGGAGGUUGUGGCCUUGAGCCGUGGCUUUCGGAGCUAACGCGUUAAGUAGACCGCCUGGGGAGUACGGUCGCAAGAUUAAAACUCAAAUGAAUUGACGGGGGCCCGCACAAGCGGUGGAGCAUGUGGUUUAAUUCGAUGCAACGCGAAGAACCUUACCUACUCUUGACAUCCAGAGAACUUUCCAAAAAUGGAUUGGUG
RNAcentral lists this ribosomal RNA (1001 nucleotides) under Vibrio owensii. RNAcentral's name for it is "bacterial SSU rRNA". It matches the Rfam family "Bacterial small subunit ribosomal RNA", at positions 38 to 1016 of the family's 1533-position model. Lineage: Bacteria; Pseudomonadati; Pseudomonadota; Gammaproteobacteria; Vibrionales; Vibrionaceae. The record is from RNAcentral.